AUGUUAGGACAACCAAUUAACUUUCUUAGUUGGAAUGUAAGGGGAUUAAACUUCCCAAACCGACGGGCCACUAUUCACGAGACUAUCGCUGCAACUUCGUGUCAUUUGGCUUGCUUACAGCAGACCAAACUUGAGGUGUUGGACCAGUUUACGGCUUCCUUCCUGGGAGGGUCCAGGCUCAAAAGCUUUGCCCACCGGCCGGCACUGGGCACUAGGGGCGGCAUCCUGCUGCUUUGGGAUGACGACGUUGUAGUUGUGUCUGAUAUUGUGCUCUUGGUGCAUUGCCUAUCAGCCACAGUCCUCAUCCGCGAAUCUGGGGUCUCCUUCAAGAUCAAGGAGGUCUAUGUCCCUACUGCCUCUUCUUGCAAAAACGCCUUCUUCGCGGAGCUCCUGACUCAAAAGCCACCUCCAGGGACCAAAUGGCUCGCUCAGGGUGACUUCAACCAAAUACAACGCGCGCGCGACAAGAAUAAGCGGAACAUCAACCAUGGUCGUAUCAACCGGUUCCGUAACACCCUCCAUGCAUGCGAACUCAGCAAGAUACACCUGCAAAAUUGUCGUUUCACUUGGAGCAACGAGCCAGACAACCCCAUCCUUUGCAAGCUCAAUUCUUUUUUCUGCAAUGCGGAUUGGGAUCUUGCCUUCGGCACCCAUGUGCUACAUGCUCUCUCCACUUCGCUUUCGGACCACUGCCCUCUCCUUCUCGCGGAUGAUAGUGGACCAAGGAGACCGCGUUGCUUCAAGUUUGAGAAUUUUUGGACGUCCAUGCUGGGCUUCCAGGAGGUGGUGGACAAGGCUUGGAGCGAGGUGUGCCCUCAUGUGGAGCCGUACCUGCGACUCUUCCACAAGAUGAAAAAAUUUAGUGUCAGGCUAGCGGAGUGGAGUCGAAAACUUUUCUCGAAGGUGAAGCUUCACUUGCAUGCGGUCCUCUUGGUGAUACCCCGCCUUGACGUUGCCCAAGAAGACCGGGAGCUCUCGCCUGAGGAGAAAGACUUGAGGGCAAAGCUAAAGAGAAGAGUGGUCAGUCUUGCAGUCCUUGAGCGGGCGAGGAGAAAGAAAUGCUCUAGGAUCUCAAACUUAAAGGAGGGAGAUGCCAACACCAAGUUUUUCCAUCGAAUGGUGAAUGCACGCUCUCGGUGUCAAAACCGGCGGAUCUCGGGUAGGGGGUCUCGAACUGUGCGUCUAGGCCGGAUGGUAAUAGGAGGCAAGGGACACGAAGUUUUACCCAGGUUCGGGCCCUCUUGA
This 1245-nucleotide ribosomal RNA is filed under the name Triticum aestivum (bread wheat). RNAcentral describes it as "partial small subunit ribosomal RNA". The record is from RNAcentral. Lineage: Eukaryota; Viridiplantae; Streptophyta; Magnoliopsida; Poales; Poaceae.